This 198-nucleotide ribosomal RNA is filed under the name uncultured bacterium. RNAcentral describes it as "partial 16S ribosomal RNA". It matches the Rfam family "Bacterial small subunit ribosomal RNA", at positions 328 to 539 of the family's 1533-position model. The record is from RNAcentral.
ACGCUCGACACCUACUGGAGGCAGCAGUGGGGAAUAUUGCACAAUGGGGGAAACCCUGAUGCAGCAACGCCGCGUGAAGGAAGACGGUUUUCGGAUUGUAAACUUCUGUUCUUAGUGAAGAUAGUGACGGUAGCUAAGGAGCAAGCCACGGCUAACUACGUGCCAACAGCCGCGGUAAUCUGAGCGGGCUGGCAAGGC